AACGAACGCUGGCGGCAGGCUUAACACAUGCAAGUCGAACGCCCCGCAAGGGGAGUGGCAGACGGGUGAGUAACGCGUGGGAAUCUACCCAACCCUACGGAACAACUCCGGGAAACUGGAGCUAAUACCGUAUACGCCCUACGGGGGAAAGAUUUAUCGGGGAUGGAUGAGCCCGCGUUGGAUUAGCUAGUUGGUGGGGUAAAGGCCUACCAAGGCGACGAUCCAUAGCUGGUCUGAGAGGAUGAUCAGCCACAUUGGGACUGAGACACGGCCCAAACUCCUACGGGAGGCAGCAGUGGGGAAUAUUGGACAAUGGGCGCAAGCCUGAUCCAGCCAUGCCGCGUGAGUGAUGAAGGUCUAGGGUUGUAAAGAUCUUUCAGGUGGGAAGAUAAUGACUGUACCACCAGAAGAAGCCCCGGCUAACUCCGUGCCAGCCGCCGCGGUAA
This 446-nucleotide ribosomal RNA is filed under the name uncultured bacterium. RNAcentral describes it as "partial 16S ribosomal RNA". It matches the Rfam family "Bacterial small subunit ribosomal RNA", at positions 29 to 523 of the family's 1533-position model. The record is from RNAcentral.